CAAAUCCUGCUAUUCAGUC
RNAcentral lists this small nuclear RNA (19 nucleotides) under Arabidopsis thaliana (thale cress). Its description in RNAcentral is "snRNA_12522". The record is from RNAcentral. Lineage: Eukaryota; Viridiplantae; Streptophyta; Magnoliopsida; Brassicales; Brassicaceae.